GCCACAUGAUGAUGGUGUAGAUUACAGUAGCACCCUGUGCAAAGAUGACCACCCAUCUAUCACCCUAGGCUGAUGGCU
Small nucleolar RNA from Paramormyrops kingsleyae, 78 nucleotides. Its record names the gene SNORD83. It matches the Rfam family "Small nucleolar RNA SNORD83". From Rfam's summary of the family: U83 (SNORD83) and U84 (SNORD84) are members of the C/D class of snoRNA which contain the C (UGAUGA) and D (CUGA) box motifs. Lineage: Eukaryota; Metazoa; Chordata; Actinopteri; Osteoglossiformes; Mormyridae. The record is from Ensembl.